GGGGAUUUAGCUCAGUGGUAGAGCGCAUACCUAGGAAGCGCAAGGCCCUGGGUUCGAUCCCCAGCUCCG
Molecule: transfer RNA, 69 nt
Filed under: Rattus norvegicus (Norway rat)
Lineage: Eukaryota; Metazoa; Chordata; Mammalia; Rodentia; Muridae
Rfam family: tRNA
About the family: Transfer RNA (tRNA) molecules are approximately 80 nucleotides in length. Their secondary structure includes four short double-helical elements and three loops (D, anti-codon, and T loops). Further hydrogen bonds mediate the characteristic L-shaped molecular structure. tRNAs have two regions of fundamental functional importance: the anti-codon, which is responsible for specific mRNA codon recognition, and the 3' end, to which the tRNAs corresponding amino acid is attached (by aminoacyl-tRNA synthetases). tRNAs cope with the degeneracy of the genetic code in two manners: having more than one tRNA (with a specific anti-codon) for a particular amino acid; and 'wobble' base-pairing, i.e. permitting non-standard base-pairing at the 3rd anti-codon position.
Source: Rfam by way of RNAcentral